GGUGUGUACUGGUCUUGAUGGAAGCUUACCUCUUGGUGGGUCGGCAUGCCCUUCGUUGGGUGUGUCGAUUAACCAGGACUUUUACUUUGAGAAAAUUAGAGUGUUCAAAGCAGGCUUUCGCCCGAAUACAUUAGCAUGGAAUAAUAGAAUAGGACGCGCGUCUUUAUUUUGUUGGUUUCUAAAUUCGCCGUAAUGAUUAAUAGGGAUAGUCGGGGGCAUUCGUAUUGCUUGGUCAGAGGUGAAAUUCUUGGAUUCUAGCAAGACGAACUACUGCGAAAGCAUUUGCCAAGGAUGUUUUCAUUGAUCAAGAGCGAAGGUUAGGGGAUCGAAAACGAUCAGAUACCGUUGUAGUCUUAACAGUAAACUAUGCCGACUAGGGAUCGGACAAGCACAAUCUAUGACUUGUUCGGCACCUGAAGAGAAAUCUUUAAGUCUAGGUUCGGGGGGGAGUAUGGUCGCAAGGCUGAAACUUAAAGGAAUUGACGGAAGGGCACCACCAGGUGUGGAGCCUGCGGCUUAAUUUGACUCAACACGGGGAAACUCACCAGGUCCAGACACAAUAAGGAUUGACAGAUUGAUAGCUCUUUCUUGAUCUUGUGGUUGGUGGUGCAUGGCCGUUCUUAGUUGGUGGAGUGAUUUGUCUGGUUAAUUCCGAUAACGAACGAGACCUUAACCUGCUAAAUAGACCCGGGGCCUUAGGGAACCGGCUGUCUUCUUAGAGGGACUGUAGG
This 731-nucleotide ribosomal RNA is filed under the name uncultured eukaryote. RNAcentral's name for it is "SSU rRNA". It matches the Rfam family "Eukaryotic small subunit ribosomal RNA", at positions 671 to 1426 of the family's 1831-position model. The record is from RNAcentral.